Molecule: ribosomal RNA, 536 nt
Filed under: Salmonella enterica
Lineage: Bacteria; Pseudomonadati; Pseudomonadota; Gammaproteobacteria; Enterobacterales; Enterobacteriaceae
Description: bacterial SSU rRNA
Rfam family: Bacterial small subunit ribosomal RNA
Source: RNAcentral
UUUUCAGAGAUGAGAAUGUGCCUUCGGGAACCGUGAGACAGGUGCUGCAUGGCUGUCGUCAGCUCGUGUUGUGAAAUGUUGGGUUAAGUCCCGCAACGAGCGCAACCCUUAUCCUUUGUUGCCAGCGAUUCGGUCGGGAACUCAAAGGAGACUGCCAGUGAUAAACUGGAGGAAGGUGGGGAUGACGUCAAGUCAUCAUGGCCCUUACGACCAGGGCUACACACGUGCUACAAUGGCGCAUACAAAGAGAAGCGACCUCGCGAGAGCAAGCGGACCUCAUAAAGUGCGUCGUAGUCCGGAUUGGAGUCUGCAACUCGACUCCAUGAAGUCGGAAUCGCUAGUAAUCGUGGAUCAGAAUGCCACGGUGAAUACGUUCCCGGGCCUUGUACACACCGCCCGUCACACCAUGGGAGUGGGUUGCAAAAGAAGUAGGUAGCUUAACCUUCGGGAGGGCGCUUACCACUUUGUGAUUCAUGACUGGGGUGAAGUCGUAACAAGGUAACCGUAGGGGAACCUGCGGUUGGAUCACCUCCUUA